This 458-nucleotide ribosomal RNA is filed under the name uncultured bacterium. RNAcentral's name for it is "partial 16S ribosomal RNA". It matches the Rfam family "Bacterial small subunit ribosomal RNA", at positions 338 to 795 of the family's 1533-position model. The record is from RNAcentral.
CCUACGGGAGGCAGCAGUGAGGAAUAUUGGUCAAUGGCCGGAAGUCUGAACCAGCCAUGCCGCGUGAAGGUCAGUGCCCUAUGGGCGUUAAACUUCUUUUGUUCGGGAGCAAUAAUGGUCACGUGUGGCCCGCCGAGAGUACCGUCCUAAUAAGCAUCGGCUAACUCCGUUCCAGCAGCCGCGGUAAUACGGGGGCUGCAAGCGUUAUCCGGAUUUAUUGGGUUUAAAGGGUGCGUAGGGGGAGUGUUAAGUCAGCGGUAAAAGCCCUGGGCUCAACGUAGGCGAGCCGUUGAUACUGGCGGGCUGGAGAGGGAGUGAGGUAGGCGGAAUGCGUAGUGUAGCGGUGAAAUGCUUAGAUAUCGCGCAGAACCCCGAUUGCGAAGGCAGCAUACCGGCGGGGAACUGACGCUGAUGCACGAAAGCGUGGGUAUCGAACAGGAUUAGAUACCCCUGUAGUC